Long non-coding RNA from Sapajus apella (tufted capuchin), 1579 nucleotides. RefSeq lists it as uncharacterized. NCBI's taxonomy places the organism in Eukaryota, Metazoa, Chordata, Mammalia, Primates, Cebidae. The transcript has 4 exons. The record is from RefSeq and is a predicted model, not a curated record.
UCGGGAGUUCAAGACCAGACUGACCAACAUGGUGAAACCCCAUCUUUAAAAAUAAUAAUAAUAAAUAAAUAAUUUAAAAAAGAUUGAGAAAUUGAUCUAGAUUUAAAUUAAUAACUUCUUUUUAUUGAAAGAUCCUAUUAAAAAGUGAAAUGCAAGCCACAAAGUGAGAGAAGAUAUGUGGAGCAAAUAUCAUCCAUGAAGGACUGUGUCUAAGUUUGGGAUCCCUUGAAAGCAGAGGCUGAGAAAAGGGCUGUGUGCAGAGGCUUCCGGAGAUUCUGCUAUGCUUUUACUUCACAAUUCAAAUUAACAGAAAACAAAGGAGAAAAAUAUGGUCUUACAUCACUGAUCAUCUACUUCUGGGAGGCCCUAGGUGUAAGUGUGUGUUAUCUGGCUGGACCCCAAGAAUGUGAGUCACCAUAUGGUUACAACAGGAUGAGCAUCUCUUGGAAUCUAGUCACUAAAACUGCUUCUUGAAAACUGAACAACAGCCAUGAAGCUUCAGAAAAGGCUCAUCUCCAGAGUCCCUGCUACUAAAAGGAGGACUGGUUAGACCUGGGCAAUACCAAUGUAAUCACCAAAGCCAACGUCUCCAGCAGAUCCAGAAGCUGAUUAAAGAUGGCCUGAACACUGGCAAGCCUUUGACUCUUCAUUCUAGGAUUGUGCCAGAAAAAUACCUUGGCUCCCUGAAAGGGCAGCCAUAUAAGCGUAGUGGCUUCAUCAAUUAUAUAAAUCAAUCAUUCAAUAAAACAAGUCUACCUGCCUGAAAAGGAAAAAAAUGAAUAGCAUUUGCUUUUCUGUUAAGUCUGCUCAUAUUGAUCAUUCAACUAAGUAAAAAUCUAUGUCAUUUUCACAUGAACUACAAUUUAAUAAGAUUUCCUCUUUCUAUUGAUAAGAUAUUGAUCUACUAAUCUGAAAUAUGGGAUUUUAUGUUUGUUUUUACUUACAUUUAAUGAUAUUAACUUAGGCUAUUUGAUUUAACGUGUCAAGUUCUGUUGACCCUGCUUCUAUCAUUCAGCAUGCUAAUUAGUCCUUUCAGAUUUGUGAAAUUUCUACAUCUAAUUAAAUGUAAAAUUCAAUGCAGCUAAAUUUUGGCUUAGAAAAAGGGAACAGAGGAUGUGAUUGAAUACAAUACCUUAUGUCAUAUCACCAAGAACUUUUGCUAAAUUUUUCCCAAUCCAAUAAAUAGCCUUCUUUGAUUUUCAGAUGCGAAUUGGCCUAUGUUAUCAGCCAGUCCAAAUGUCUACAUCUUGUCAUGAAGAUAUCAUAAAAGUCUUUGGUUGUAUUUUGGCAUUUUCCUCCAGUAUUCUUAAAACAUUAUGAACAGUGUUCCUAAGUCACUUCCGGAAGUCAUUAUUUCAACUGAAUAAUAAAGCUCAGUUAGCCAUGAACAUGUAUCCUGAUCAAGAACAUAUUGGGCUCCCAGCUACAGGGAGAACAGGAUCUGACACAGGACAACCAGCCUGACCACAAAAACUGCAAGAGGCGGGGGCUCCACACAGGCCUGGAGGAGCAGCGGGAGAAGAAAGACUUUUACAUCCUUAUCUCAACCACAGAGACAGACGCCCCUCACGAGUCCAUU